CUACGGGAGGCAGCAGUGAGGAAUCUUCCGCAAUGGGCGAAAGCCUGACGGAGCGACACCGCGUGAAGGAUGAAACCCUUUUCGGGCGUAAACUUCUGUUCUGAGGGACGAAAUUUUUGACGGUACCUCAGGAGAAAGCACCGGCUAAUUCCGUGCCAGCAGCCGCGGUAAGACGGAAGGUGCAAGCGUUACUCGGAAUUACUGGGCGUAAAGCGUCCGCAGGCGUCCUUAUCAGUCUGGCGUGAAAGCGCGUAGCUCAACUACGCGUCUGUGCCGGAAACUGUAAGGAUUGAGUUAUGCAGAGGCAUCUGGAAUGCCAUGUGUAGGGGUAAAAUCCGUUGAUCCAUGGUAGAACGCCAAAAGCGAAGGCAGGAUGCUGGGCAUAUACUGACGCUCAGGGACGAAAGCGUGGGGAGCGAAGGGGAUUAGAUACCCCGGUAGUC
This 443-nucleotide ribosomal RNA is filed under the name uncultured bacterium. RNAcentral's name for it is "partial 16S ribosomal RNA". It matches the Rfam family "Bacterial small subunit ribosomal RNA", at positions 339 to 795 of the family's 1533-position model. The record is from RNAcentral.